UACGAGGGGGGCGAGCGUUGUUCGGAAUUAUUGGGCGUAAAGGGUGCGUAGGCGGUUUGGUAAGUCUUAUGUGAAAUCUAUGGGCUCAACUCAUAGUCUGCAUGAGAAACUGCCGGGCUUGAGUGUGGGAGAGGUGAGUGGAAUUCCUGGUGUAGCGGUGAAAUGCGUAGAUAUCAGGAGGAACACCUGUGGCGAAAGCGGCUCACUGGACCAUAACUGACGCUGAUGCACGAAAGCUAGGGGAGCAAACAGG
This 253-nucleotide ribosomal RNA is filed under the name uncultured bacterium. RNAcentral describes it as "partial 16S ribosomal RNA". It matches the Rfam family "Bacterial small subunit ribosomal RNA", at positions 524 to 776 of the family's 1533-position model. The record is from RNAcentral.